AUGAAAAUCCUUCCUGUCAGUCUUACUGGAGCAGCUUAUCACCCCAUGACCAAUGGCUGUCCCCAGACAGUUUGGGGCACUUGUGGAGCCAGAAAGCCGGUCUUCCUGUUCCUGGCUAGAACCCUCUUCUGCUAUAGUGAUGGAACAGUGGUCUUCAGAAACAAUGCCCGUCAUCUCCACUUCUGUGAACAUGUCCUGUACGGACAUCCCCCAAGAGGGUCCUGUGGAUUCGAUGCCACUCUGUUGAGGACACCACUGGCUCUAGUCCUGAUCCAGAGACUUGGAUGGGGAAGACUGCACGUGACAGAGGAGGAGAGAAGGGCACUUUCAGCAAAGCUGUGCCUGUGUCAGGCCACUCUCCCAGUGCCUCUGACGCUCUGGAAACAGCUGUUGGAGAAGUCAGGUAGGUCCUAG
This 414-nucleotide long non-coding RNA is filed under the name Sus scrofa (pig). RNAcentral describes it as "lncRNA (ENSSSCG00035029253.1, ENSSSCG00055030405.1)". Lineage: Eukaryota; Metazoa; Chordata; Mammalia; Artiodactyla; Suidae. The record is from RNAcentral.